This 463-nucleotide ribosomal RNA is filed under the name Vreelandella stevensii. RNAcentral describes it as "partial 16S ribosomal RNA". It matches the Rfam family "Bacterial small subunit ribosomal RNA", at positions 340 to 795 of the family's 1533-position model. The record is from RNAcentral. Lineage: Bacteria; Pseudomonadati; Pseudomonadota; Gammaproteobacteria; Oceanospirillales; Halomonadaceae.
CACGGGGGGCAGCAGUGGGGAAUAUUGGACAAUGGGCGAAAGCCUGAUCCAGCCAUGCCGCGUGUGUGAAGAAGGCCUUCGGGUUGUAAAGCACUUUCAGUGGGGAAGAAAGCCUUGGGGCUAAUACCCUCGAGGAAGGACAUCACCCACAGAAGAAGCACCGGCUAACUCCGUGCCAGCAGCCGCGGUAAUACGGAGGGUGCGAGCGUUAAUCGGAAUUACUGGGCGUAAAGCGCGCGUAGGCGGUCUGAUAAGCCGGUUGUGAAAGCCCCGGGCUCAACCUGGGAACGGCAUCCGGAACUGUCAGGCUAGAGUGCAGGAGAGGAAGGUAGAAUUCCCGGUGUAGCGGUGAAAUGCGUAGAGAUCGGGAGGAAUACCAGUGGCGAAGGCGGCCUUCUGGACUGACACUGACGCUGAGGUGCGAAAGCGUGGGUAGCAAACAGGAUUAGAUACCCGGGUAGUC